Molecule: microRNA precursor, 113 nt
Organism: Medicago truncatula (barrel medic)
Lineage: Eukaryota; Viridiplantae; Streptophyta; Magnoliopsida; Fabales; Fabaceae
Rfam family: MIR2593 microRNA precursor family
Source: Rfam
AUAUAAGCAAAUUUUACUUUUUAGAUUCAUUCAAUUAAUGAUAUAUGUGGUUCAAAAUAUGGACCACAUACAUCAUUAAUUGAAUGAACCUAAAAAGUAAAAUUUGCUUAUAU